GACGAACGCUGGCGGCGUGCUUAACACAUGCAAGUCGAACGGAAAGGCCCUGCUUUUGUGGGGUGCUCGAGUGGCGAACGGGUGAGUAACACGUGAGUAACCUGCCCUUGACUUUGGGAUAACUUCAGGAAACUGGGGCUAAUACCGGAUAGGAGCUCCUGCUGCAUGGUGGGGGUUGGAAAGUUUCGGCGGUUGGGGAUGGACUCGCGGCUUAUCAGCUUGUUGGUGGGGUAGUGGCUUACCAAGGCUUUGACGGGUAGCCGGCCUGAGAGGGUGACCGGCCACAUUGGGACUGCGAUACGGCCCAGACUCCUACGGGAGGCAGCAGUGGGGAAUAUUGCACAAUGGGCGGAAGCCUGAUGCAGCAACGCCGCGUGCGGGAUGACGGCCUUCGGGUUGCAAACCGCUUUCGCCUGUGACGAAGCGUGAGUGACGGUAAUGGGUAAAGAAGCACCGGCUAACUACGUG
This 468-nucleotide ribosomal RNA is filed under the name uncultured bacterium. RNAcentral describes it as "partial 16S ribosomal RNA". It matches the Rfam family "Bacterial small subunit ribosomal RNA", at positions 28 to 507 of the family's 1533-position model. The record is from RNAcentral.